Molecule: ribosomal RNA, 451 nt
Filed under: uncultured bacterium
Lineage: Bacteria
Description: bacterial SSU rRNA
Rfam family: Bacterial small subunit ribosomal RNA
Source: RNAcentral
GUGGGGAAUAUUGGACAAUGGGGGCAACCCUGAUCCAGCCAUGCCGCGUGUGUGAAGAAGGCCUUUUGGUUGUAAAGCACUUUAAGCAGGGAGGAGAGGCUAAUGGUUAAUACCCAUUAGAUUAGACGUUACCUGCAGAAUAAGCACCGGCUAACUCUGUGCCAGCAGCCGCGGUAAUACAGAGGGUGCGAGCGUUAAUCGGAAUUACUGGGCGUAAAGCGAGUGUAGGUGGCUCAUUAAGUCACAUGUGAAAUCCCCGGGCUUAACCUGGGAACUGCAUGUGAUACUGGUGGCGCUAGAAUAUGUGAGAGGGAAGUAGAAUUCCAGGUGUAGCGGUGAAAUGCGUAGAGAUCUGGAGGAAUACCGAUGGCGAAGGCAGCUUCCUGGCAUAAUAUUGACACUGAGAUUCGAAAGCGUGGGUAGCAAACAGGAUUAGAAACCCUAGUAGUCC